This 253-nucleotide ribosomal RNA is filed under the name uncultured bacterium. Its description in RNAcentral is "partial 16S ribosomal RNA". It matches the Rfam family "Bacterial small subunit ribosomal RNA", at positions 524 to 776 of the family's 1533-position model. The record is from RNAcentral.
UACGUAGGGGGCGAGCGUUGUCCGGAUUUAUUGGGCGUAAAGAGCGUGUAGGCGGUUCGGUAAGUCUGUCGUGAAAUCCUGAGGCUCAACCUCGGGCGUGCGAUGGAUACUGCCGGGCUAGAGGGUGGUAGAGGCGAGUGGAAUUCCCGGUGUAGCGGUGAAAUGCGCAGAUAUCGGGAGGAACACCUAUGGCGAAGGCAGCUCUCUGGGACGUUACUGACGCUGAGACGCGAAAGCGUGGGGAGCAAACAGG